GACGAACGCUGGCGGCGUGCUUAACACAUGCAAGUCGAACGGAAAGGCCUCUUUCGGGGGGUACUCGAGUGGCGAACGGGUGAGUAACACGUGAGUAACCUGCCCUUGACUUUGGGAUAACUUCAGGAAACUGGGGCUAAUACCGGAUAGGAGCUCCUGCUGCAUGGGGGGGGUUGGAAAGUUUCGGCGGUUGGGGAUGGACUCGCGGCUUAUCAGCUUGUUGGUGGGGUAGUGGCUUACCAAGGCUUUGACGGGUAGCCGGCCUGAGAGGGUGACCGGCCACAUUGGGACUGAGAUACGGCCCAGACUCCUACGGGAGGCAGCAGUGGGGAAUAUUGCACAAUGGGUGGAAGCCUGAUGCAGCAACGCCGUGUGCGGGACGACGGCCUUCGGGUUGUAAACCGCUUUCGCUCAUGACGAAGCUUUGUGUGACGGUAGUGGGUAAAGAAGCACCGGCUAACUACGUG
This 467-nucleotide ribosomal RNA is filed under the name uncultured bacterium. Its description in RNAcentral is "partial 16S ribosomal RNA". It matches the Rfam family "Bacterial small subunit ribosomal RNA", at positions 28 to 507 of the family's 1533-position model. The record is from RNAcentral.